UGAGACAAGAGGUUUUGGGGUGAAUUGAGAGGAGUUUGGGGUGAAAUGAGAGGGUUUUCGGGUGAAGUGAGAGCGGUUUUGGGUGAGAUGAGAGGGGUUUCGGGUGAGAUGAGAAGAUUUGGGGGUGAAAUGAGAGGGGUUUGGGGUGAAAUUAGAGGUUUUGGGGUGAGAUGGGAUUUUGGGGUGAAAUUAGAGGGUUUGGGGUGAAAUGAGAGGGUUAUGGAGUGAGAUGAGGGGGUUUUGGGGUGAAAUGAGGGGGUUUGGGGUGAGAUGAGAGGAGUUUGGGGUGAGAUUAGGGGGUUCUGGGGUGAGAUGAGAGGAGUUUGGGGUGAAAUGAGAGGAUUUGGGGUGAAAUGAGGGGAGCUUGGGUGAGAUGAGGGGGUUUUGGGUGAGAUGAGAGGGGUUUGGGGGUGAAAUGAGAGGAGUUUGGAGUGAGAUGAGGGGGUUUUGGGGUGAAAUGAGGGGGGUUCGGGUGAAAUGAGAGGAGUUUGGGGUGAAAUUAGGGGGUUUUGGGUUGAAAUGAGAGGGUUUUGGGGUGAGAUGAGGGGAUUUUGGGUGAGAUGAGUGUGGUUUGGGGUGAAAUGUGAAGGGUUUGGGGUGAAAGAGGUUUUGGGGUGAGAUGAGGGAGUUUUGGGGUGAAAUGAGACGAGUUUGGGUUAAAUGAGAGGAUUUUGGGGUAAAUUGAGUUUUUUUGGGGGUGAAAUGAGAGGGGCUUGGGGUGAAAUGAGAAUUUGGGGUGAAAUUAAAGACUUUAGAAGAUUGUGGGGCUCACCGGACCCGUCCUGGGGCCCCCUUGGGCUGCCCUGAGGGGGCCCCGAGCCUCUGCCCCCCCCCCGGUCCGUGUGUCUGUCCGUCCUCUGCCCCCUCUGUUUGUCUUGGCCGCCCUCGGGCCCGCCUCGGUCACUGACAAAGUUCAGGGCCUUGGAAGGGAACCGGGGGGG
This 941-nucleotide long non-coding RNA is filed under the name Anas platyrhynchos platyrhynchos (common mallard). Its description in RNAcentral is "lncRNA (ENSAPLG00000020735.1)". Lineage: Eukaryota; Metazoa; Chordata; Aves; Anseriformes; Anatidae. The record is from RNAcentral.